GACGAACGCUGGCGGCGUGCUUAACACACGCAAGUCGAACGGAAAGGCCUCUUUCGGGGGGUACUCGAGUGGCGAACGGGUGAGUAACACGUGAGUAACCUGCCCUUGACUUUGGGAUAACUUCAGGAAACUGGGGCUAAUACCGGAUAGGAGCUCCUGCUGCAUGGUGGGGGUUGGAAAGUUUCGGCGGUUGGGGAUGGACUCGCGGCUUAUCAGCUUGUUGGUGGGGUAGUGGCUUACCAAGGCUUUGACGGGUAGCCGGCCUGAGAGGGUGACCGGCCACAUUGGGACUGAGACACGGCCCAGACUCCUACGGGAGGCAGCAGUGGGGAAUAUUGCACAAUGGGUGGAAGCCUGAUGCAGCAACGCCGUGUGCGGGAUGACGGCCUUCGGGUUGGAAACCGCUUUCGCUCAUGACGAAGCUUUGUGUGACGGUAGUGGGUAAAGAAGCACCGGCUAACUACGUG
This 467-nucleotide ribosomal RNA is filed under the name uncultured bacterium. RNAcentral describes it as "partial 16S ribosomal RNA". It matches the Rfam family "Bacterial small subunit ribosomal RNA", at positions 28 to 507 of the family's 1533-position model. The record is from RNAcentral.